Molecule: ribosomal RNA, 254 nt
Filed under: uncultured bacterium
Lineage: Bacteria
Description: partial 16S ribosomal RNA
Rfam family: Bacterial small subunit ribosomal RNA
Source: RNAcentral
UACGAAGGGGGCGAGCGUUGUUCGGAAUUACUGGGCGUAAAGCGUAUGCAGGCGGAUCGUUAAGUCGGGGGUGAAAUCCCGAGGCUCAACCUCGGAACUGCCUUCGAUACUGGCGACCUUCGAGUCCGGGAGAGGUGAGUGGAACUCCGAGUGUAGAGGUGAAAUUCGUAGAUAUUCGGAAGAACACCAGUGGCGAAGGCGGCUCACUGGCCCGGUACGGACGCUGAGAUACGAAAGCGUGGGGAGCAAACAGG